This is a non-coding RNA of Prunus avium (sweet cherry), 399 nucleotides long. The record is from RefSeq and is a predicted model, not a curated record. NCBI's taxonomy places the organism in Eukaryota, Viridiplantae, Streptophyta, Magnoliopsida, Rosales, Rosaceae.
AUCUCUUUGAAGGAGUGUACAACAGCACCUGAGAAGCAUGUGCUUGCAGACGCCACAUCUCAUAAACUAGACACAGAAGAAUCGGAGGAUGACUGUCUGCAUGCUGAAAGCUCUCAUUUGGAUGGAGAUCAAGUGGCCACGGUAUCAGAUGGUGUUUCGGACUUGCAGGAUUUACAAAGAAGAAUUAAAGCUAUUGAAAAGGCAUUUUUCCACAAAUCAGGUAGAAAUUCGGAGAUGGGGUUGGUAACACUAUGAAGAAGCGUGAAUUCAAAUAACCGUGGAAGACCUGAAGAGGAAGGUGGAGAUUACUGAAAAGAGCAAAAAGGGCAAAGGUAUUGAAUUUGAAAACGUGAAGGGGCAGCUGGAAGAAGCUGACGAGGCCAUCACUAAGUUGUUUGA